AAAGGAAUUGACGGGGACCCGCACAAGUGGUGGAGCAUAUGGUUUAAUUCGACGAUACGCGAGGAACCUUACCCAGAUUUGACAUCUAGCGAAAGCUCUAGAAACAGAGCCGUGCCUUCGGGAACGCUAAGACAGGUGAUGCAUGGUUGCCGUCAGCUCGUGCCGUGAGGUGUACCCUUAAGUGGGACAACGAGCGCAACCCCUAGGCUUUGUUACAUAUUCAAAGCUGACUGCCAGGGAUAACCUGGAGGAAGGUGGGGAUGACGUCAAAUCAGCAUGUCCCUUAUAUCUGGGGCGACACAUGUGCUACAAUGGGGUGUAACAAAGGGACGCCAAACCGCAAGGUGGAGCCAAUCCCAUCAAACCACCCCCCAGUUCGGAUUGUGGGCUGCAACUCGCCCACAUGAAGUUGGAAUCACUAGUAACCGUAUAUCAGCCAUGAUACGGUGAAUACGUUCUCGGGUCUUGUACACACCGCCCGU
RNAcentral lists this ribosomal RNA (482 nucleotides) under uncultured bacterium. RNAcentral describes it as "bacterial SSU rRNA". It matches the Rfam family "Bacterial small subunit ribosomal RNA", at positions 903 to 1397 of the family's 1533-position model. The record is from RNAcentral.